Molecule: long non-coding RNA, 226 nt
Filed under: Vitis vinifera (wine grape)
Lineage: Eukaryota; Viridiplantae; Streptophyta; Magnoliopsida; Vitales; Vitaceae
Description: long non-coding RNA (VVIN_LNC007185)
Source: RNAcentral
GACAAACCCUUAUAACUCUAGAGGAAAGAGGAUGCGUUAAAUAAACUCAAUGAAGGGGAUGCCCGAAAACAACUCAAGGAAGGAGGAUGCCUUGAAGAUACUCAAGGAAUAGUGCAUACGCUUAAACAAACUCAUAGGAUGGAAUGCUCAUUAUGAGAAACAAAAGGAAAAUACGAAUAACCAUAGAUAACUCAAAAUGAUGGGAAACCAAAGAAAUGAACAAUGA